GUAAAACCUUAGCCUUC
Molecule: transfer RNA, 17 nt
Filed under: Paludella squarrosa
Lineage: Eukaryota; Viridiplantae; Streptophyta; Bryopsida; Splachnales; Meesiaceae
Also listed under: 3 other names
Description: partial tRNA-Gly
Source: RNAcentral